GAAGUGAAAAUAGGAAAUGGACAUGAUGCCUUUCUCUAUGGGGAAGGCAAAAGAUGAAAUUUUUGGAAGUAAUUGAAGGAUGUGGUGCAUGAGAGGAUGAUUGUUGGUUUUUUUUUAUUCUAAAUUUUUUAAGAUAAUUGAAUUAGGAAGAAGAAAUGUGGUUUUAGUGAGAAAGAGUAGAAAUUUUUGGUGAUUGGUUUUCACCAUUUAAUUCAGGCAAUUAUCCUAGUUAUAGUUUAUCUUGUAAAUUUGCCACUGUUUAAUGGUUGUCUUUCAUUCCUGAAAUUCCAAAAUAUAUAUGCCCCUUUGAUUCAUUGCCUUGUAUUUUGUGUUUCUCAUCUCUGAAUAUGAAGAUAAAAAACUGUAAAGGUGUUAAAUUGGAUUUUCAUUCACCAGGCUAAGGUGAUCUAAUCAUUUGAGAAAUGUAGUUACAUAUCUAAAAUUGGUACUAUACAUUGUCCGUGAGGUACUUGCUAAGUGCAGGAAGAAUAUUGUGUUCAUGUGCAAGUGACAAGAAUUAAUAAGUAUGUUAAUUACAUAUUCAACCAUAAUUACAUUUUCCAUCCUACAUUGAUAUACUCGGUUUAGAGAUAUAUUUAGAUAUCUAGAUUACUACCAUAUUUUGUACGUAAUGUACUUUCCAUGUGUAGGAAUAAUCUUGCUUGUCACUUAGUCAGUUUUGUCCUUACACAUCUUUAAAGAAGUACCAAUCAUUGUAUGUAAUGUACUUUCUAUUUAUGGGAAGAUAGUAGUUAACUCAGUUGAAAAACGUACUUUCUAUGUAUGGGAAAAAUAUUACUGGUCGCACCUACAUGUCUUUUAAAAGAUAUCUAAAGCACUUUGUAUGAUGUGUAAAAUGUUACUUUGUCACUUGGUUGAUGAACAUACUUGCACAUGUAAAAAGUAAAAAUAUCAAAUUUUAAGUUUACAGUACUUUAUAUGAAUGGGAAAACCUUAGUAACAAGAACACUUAUAAUAAAAGUCAAUUGAGUAUUAUUGUGGUCUUGUAUUUGUUUUCAAUAUCCUGUGUCUAUGGGGAUACGAACAUACAUACAUAUCUUUAAACAAAUACCAAAUCUUAAUCAUAGAGUACUUUUGAUGUAUAAGAAAAAUGUUAUCUACAUAUGGAAUUCAAUAUGAGUGAUGAGAAUAAAUAGUAAAUUUAAAGAUUGCUGUGGUUAUAUUUUUUUCUUGGAUAGCCAUAUUUACCUAUCUUUGACCCCAAGAAAAGAAAAGGGGGGAAAAAAGAAAGGAAAAACCCAAUUUCCAAGUGUAAAGCACUUUCUAUUAUGGGGAAAAUGUUAAUUGAAUCUGCAAUUUAAUACAAGUGAUAUGAAUAAAUAGAAAUUCAACUGAAAAUUAGUAUAUGGUUUUAUAUGUUUUGAAUAGCUUGUGUCUAAGAAGAUAUGAAGUCAAUUACUCAAUCUCUGAUGUCAUGUCCUGUAAGGAAGAGCAUUUACCUCAACUGGUUGUUUCUCUUUAUGUUGUCUACUAUUUGGAUAUGUGCCUAGAUAUUGGCUAUAUAGCUUUAGGGAGUAUAUGAAUGAAGAACAACCCAAUUUGCCAUCCAGUUUGCAUAAAUCUUAAUGGAGUUCUACCUCUGUUGGCUUUGUCAAGUUUCAUUUGUGUUCUGUUCUGAGUUCUGAUCAUUCUGUUCAAGUGUGGCACUUACUUUUGAAAUGUUGUCUUCAUAGACAAGUCCCUUGGUUUUGUAGAUUAUUUCUAUUCCAGCUGAGCAUUUGCUCACAAGGAGCUUAUGAGGAAGGGAAGUUUCAAUUGGAUAUUACAGAGAGGGAAAUCUAAGGGGAAUAUGAGGUGGAGUUUCCAGAGGAAAUUGGGGUUCGUUUUUUGUGGAGGAAGGUGAUGGUGGUGGUGGCAUAAUGGGGUGGUAGAUGGAGAGGUAGAAGGGAAAAGGGAUUCAUUUGGCUGAAUUAGGCCACUUGGGUAUUUUGGUGAUAGAACUUCAUAUUAUGAAAAUUUGUUAUAUUGUAACCAAUCACUUUUUGAAAGUUUCUCAAAAGUUACACCCCACCCAUAAAUUGAAACUCUUCCUCUUCCCUUAUGCCAAAUUUUCCUUUAACAUUUAGGUACACGGCUUUGAGAAACUAAUAUCCAUAUUACACGUUUAUUAAGAGAGGUGAUUCUUUCUCCAUCAUCCACAGCAUAUUAUAUACUUUUUAAACCUAAGCGAGGACUUACUUGCUCCUUAAUUGAUUCCUCCAAGGUUGAGUUACUCUCAUAGAUUUUCAGCUUUCUGCAUCACUGCUUAACUAAUUUUUAAGCUUCCAUCUCACUGCAGAUGGCUUCUGCAAUUAUCUUGUCAAAGAUUCAUUGGGAGUUUUAAGAAGUUAAUUCGGCUUUCUCCAUAUCUGACUGGAGAUGUGAUAGUCUUACAUCUUUUCACAUGAUAUUUCCUUCUCUCUUCCCUCUUCUGGAAUUCUUUUGUGUAGUUUCUCCAUGCUUUCAGGAAAAGGAUACCUUUUUUCCCCACUUUUUUAAAGCAAAUGAUAAGAUGAAGUUGAAGCUGGCAAAGAAAGAAAACUGCAAAAAAUGGUCUACAUAUUCUUCUUGGAGGCGUCUGUGCUUUAACAGUUGUAAUCUUCUUUCGUUUUUUCGUGCUGACAAGAAUCAAGUAUGGACCAGCACGAUAUUGGGCCAUCUUGUUUGUUUUCUGGUUUCUUGUAUUUGGCAUAUGGGCUUCAAGAACACAUGGUUCUCAUGCAACAUGACUUGCAUUUAUUGUGUUACUGCAUUAUCAUUAGCUUUUUCUUUUGUCAUUAUGGGAUUUUCUGGGGGCAGAGUGAACAGUGCAUUUCAUAUUGUUGAAUGAAUCUGUCACAAGUUGUGUUUGGUUCUGUCAUGGAAACAAGUGAAACCAGCUGAAGAUGGUUUCAAGAUGUCAAAAAAUUCCUCUUUUAUGUCUUAAAUGGUGUUCAUGAGCUGUGUUAAAGUAGACCAUAUCCUUUUUUUUCCCCUGGGAGUGGGAAGUUGAGGUUAUUUUGGAGUAAAAGCUUGAUGAUGUGAUUC
Molecule: non-coding RNA, 3027 nt
Organism: Coffea arabica (coffee)
Lineage: Eukaryota; Viridiplantae; Streptophyta; Magnoliopsida; Gentianales; Rubiaceae
Source: RefSeq, a predicted model, not a curated record